GACGAACGCUGGCGGCGUGCUUAACACAUGCAAGUCGAACGCUGAAGCUCAGCUUGCUGGGUGGAUGAGUGGCGAACGGGUGAGUAACACGUGAGUAACCUGCCCUCUUCUUUGGGAUAACGACCGGAAACGGGUGCUAAUACUGGAUAUUCACUGAUUCUCGCAUGGGGGUUGGUGGAAAGGUUUUUUCUGGUGGGGGAUGAGCUCGCGGCCUAUCAGCUUGUUGGUGGGGUGAUGGCCUACCAAGGCUUUGACGGGUAGCCGGCCUGAGAGGGUGACCGGUCACAUUGGGACUGAGAUACGGCCCAGACUCCUACGGGAGGCAGCAGUGGGGAAUAUUGCACAAUGGGCGAAAGCCUGAUGCAGCGACGCCGCGUGAGGGAUGGAGGCCUUCGGGUUGUAUACCUCGUUCGCUCAUGGUCAAGCCGCAGCUUGGGGUUGUGGUGAGGGUAGUGGGUAAAGAAGCGCCGGCUAACUACGUG
Molecule: ribosomal RNA, 482 nt
Filed under: uncultured bacterium
Lineage: Bacteria
Description: partial 16S ribosomal RNA
Rfam family: Bacterial small subunit ribosomal RNA
Source: RNAcentral